AGCGAACGCUGGCGGCAGGCCUAACACAUGCAAGUCGAACGAACUCUUCGGAGUUAGUGGCGGACGGGUGAGUAACACGUGGGAACGUGCCUUUUGGUUCGGAAUAACUCAGGGAAACUUGUGCUAAUACCGAAUGUGCCCUUCGGGGGAAAGAUUUAUCGCCAUUAGAGCGGCCCGCGUCUGAUUAGCUAGUUGGUGAGGUAACGGCUCACCAAGGCGACGAUCAGUAGCUGGUCUGAGAGGAUGACCAGCCACACUGGGACUGAGACACGGCCCAGACUCCUACGGGAGGCAGCAGUUGGGAAUCUUGCGCAAUGGGCGAAAGCCUGACGCAGCCAUGCCGCGUGAAUGAUGAAGGUCUUAGGAUUGUAAAAUUCUUUCACCGGGGACGAUAAUGACGGUACCCGGAGAAGAAGCCCCGGCUAACUUCGUG
This 433-nucleotide ribosomal RNA is filed under the name uncultured bacterium. RNAcentral's name for it is "partial 16S ribosomal RNA". It matches the Rfam family "Bacterial small subunit ribosomal RNA", at positions 29 to 507 of the family's 1533-position model. The record is from RNAcentral.